Molecule: long non-coding RNA, 175 nt
Filed under: Monodelphis domestica (gray short-tailed opossum)
Lineage: Eukaryota; Metazoa; Chordata; Mammalia; Didelphimorphia; Didelphidae
Description: lncRNA (ENSMODG00000038061.1)
Source: RNAcentral
UAAAGGAUAUAAGUGCAGAACUCCCAAGAUUUACUUCCUUCCUGAUCUGUCCAGCCAGGAUACCUGAGGCAAAAUCCAUCUGCUGAAGGAAACUACUCUAUUGCUCUCUCCAGAAGAAAACCUUGUCUUUGAUAUUGAAGUGUUAUGAAGGAAUGAAAAAAUCUGUAAAAUGACA